Molecule: ribosomal RNA, 652 nt
Filed under: Coniochaetales sp. A551
Lineage: Eukaryota; Fungi; Ascomycota; Sordariomycetes; Coniochaetales
Description: LSU rRNA
Rfam family: Eukaryotic large subunit ribosomal RNA
Source: RNAcentral
GAGUAAGAGCGUAUAGCCUCGGACCCGAAAGAUGGUGAACUAUGCCUGAAUAGGGUGAAGCCAGAGGAAACUCUGGUGGAGGCUCGCAGCGGUUCUGACGUGCAAAUCGAUCGUCAAAUUUGGGCAUGGGGGCGAAAGACUAAUCGAACCAUCUAGUAGCUGGUUACCGCCGAAGUUUCCCUCAGGAUAGCAGUGUUGUUCUUCAGUUUUAUGAGGUAAAGCGAAUGAUUAGGGACUCGGGGGCGCUAUUUAGCCUUCAUCCAUUCUCAAACUUUAAAUAUGUAAGAAGCCCUUGUUACUUAAUUGAACGUGGGCAUUCGAAUGUACCAACACUAGUGGGCCAUUUUUGGUAAGCAGAACUGGCGAUGCGGGAUGAACCGAACGCGGGGUUAAGGUGCCAGAGUGGACGCUCAUCAGACACCACAAAAGGCGUUAGUACAUCUUGACAGCAGGACGGUGGCCAUGGAAGUCGGAAUCCGCUAAGGACUGUGUAACAACUCACCUGCCGAAUGUACUAGCCCUGAAAAUGGAUGGCGCUCAAGCGUCCCACCCAUACCCCGCCCUUAGGGUAGAAACGAUGCCCUAAGGAGUAGGCGGCCGUGGGGGUCAGUGACGAAGCCUAGGGCGUGAGCCCGGGUCGAACGGCCCCUAG